UGGCCGCUGUGGAGAGUUCUGUGCUGUCAAGAGUCUGCUGUGGAACCAAUUAGGCUAAAGCACGCUGUCCACCGAGGCUGUUGGGGGGGGGGGGGGAGUAUGGUGCUUGCAAUGUCAAGCAGCAGCAACAUUAACACGGGUCAGAGAGGCGGAUGGCGCGCACACACACACACACACACACACACACGCACCACACGCACCACACAACUAUUGAUGACUCUACGUCAUUUUUGUCAAGUAGAAUGACAAAGCCUUAUGCAACUGAAUUGGACAACUGCGAACAAAUUACCGUACUGUGAGGGACUCUCACCUGCACGUAUAGCGAGAGCACACAGACAAAUUAAAUGCAAUGGAAAAACUUCAACCCCUGAUAUUUUUAUUGUGAAACGACCUUCUGUAUUAUUUUUUCUUCCUAUGUUUCCAAUCGGUCUGUGCCAAAAUAAGUAAUGAGUUCUUUGUCUCAAGGAUGGAGGAGAGUAUGGUUAGUGGAUUGAAAUGAAUCAACUUGGAGAAUCAGUCAACCACGGUCAAUAUGCUGGUCUUCCAUCGGAUGGAGGCAGACCAGAGAUGAAAUCUAUUAACAAGUCGGACCAGCGAUCGGUCGGAGUUGCAGGAGCGCCGUGGGCCGAUGAUGAGCCAGGCGGCGACAAAUUGCCUGACAUCCUGGGACUUAUCUGACCUCAUUGCACCCACGCUCAAGGGCUAAAUUCAUACACUCAAUGGCAUAGUCUCCAGCUGACUGCGAGCUUUGACAUGACAUAAUGACAUUAGCUGUUUGCUGAAGACUCGUCACAUCUCCACAAAAGGAGGCAACCAAUUCUAAUGUACGGUAUAUGACUUUGAUUGCUACAAGGAAUAGGCACACCUCGCCGGUCCUCCCUAAAUCAAGUUAAGAACGUAAGAUAAACUUGGUGCGGCCGAUCGAAAAUUAAAGAACAUUUCAGCAGGCCACGAGCUCCUACUUUUCCUGAGUAAUGUUCUGGUGAUGUAAUGUUUGGUUCCUGGUGAAAAGGCCAACUUGUAGCAAGUGAGAGACUCUUUCCCUGAUUAGAAAGUGGGGGAGGGUGGGCUGCAGCAGACGGUGAGGUUUGUGGGGUAUUGCUGGACGUCAACCGGGCGGUCAUUGGGGUGGAGAGGCUCUGAAUAGCGUUCAUAACCUCCUCCAAGAACGCUGAUGGCUCUGCAUCUGAGUCUCCUGGGUCCAUGACUGUCCAGAACAUAAAUUAAAAAACCCUUCAAAUACAAAAGUGGAAACCAGAAUCACCCAAUAGGCAGUGAAUGGCACAAAGCAACAACACAGAGCGUGGUUGGAUGUGGCAGUGGUAGAGCGCCCGAUGAAGAGACAUGUGAGGAUACUAGAUGUUCUCACUGUUAAGUACAGUUCAGUUGUAUUUAAUUUGAAGUACAAUCCAAUUGCAUUUAAUCGAUUAGAACUGUUUUCAAAUAUCAGUUUAGGUUAAAAAAUGUACUUAACUCAUGGCCAAGUAAUUGUAAUUGAGUAUGUACUUUUUUUUAGGUAUAUACUUUGUUAAAUAAGUUUGGAACCAAUGUCCUAGAAUGCCAUUCGCUUGCUCGACUGUGCUCAUUAAGAAACGUACAUGCAAUGAAACCCCAGGUGGUGUUACCCCUCGCUAUCCCUUUAACUCUGUGUUGUCAAAGUCAAGGCCCGGGGCCAGAUAUGGCCCCACGUCAAUUUAUGUGGCCCGUGGGAGCAAAUCAUGUGUGUCAACUUUCAUGAUUCUUGUUGAAAUCUCUACUGAAAUGACAAAUUGUCACGGGUAAUAAGUAACGUUGGGAUUUUGCACCGGCCGUCCGAGGGAAGCCGUAACUCCGAAGUGGCCUGCGACAAAAAAUUUGUUUGACACCCCUGCUUUAACCUGAACUUGUGGGUACAGGGAGUGAGUCGUACUAGUUGAUGUUGCGUGUGCGUUUGCCUUUGUUUGUCUAUUUGCCUUGUGCAUAACCUCCCGUGGCAGCCUGACAGACCGCGUUGCCCCCGCCGGCCAAUGUGCCAUGCCGCGCUCUUCCCGCUGAGGCCGACGGGAAGUGACACAUGCGAAAUGCUGACCUGGUUGCUCGCAGCCCCCUCCAGGGCCCUCAGGAUGCCGAGUUUUUCGUCACAGGACCCCUCUGUUUUGUAUUGCAAAUCAAGAAAAGUUGUGUAAGAUGCGCUGGUGCCUUUGUUUCACCUUGAUUUGAAUACCUGACCUGGAACUGAACUUGGGGGUCAUAUUGCCACUGUUAUGGUUGUCAGCUGUAUUAUGCCAAAGCCAUUUUUUGUCCCAUUCUUUGUGUAUUUUAUUUUAAAACGGUAAGAUUUACAGUAUAUUCAUUUUCAAGUUCCAAAAAUCUGUGGCCUACUACUGCAAACAAAACUAGUAAUACAGUAUACUGAAAAUGGUUACAUUUAAUUAUCAAUCAUUUGAUUGAGUCGCACAAAAGACUCCCGUAUUUGUAUUUGACCUUGCUUUUUUUUUACAUGUUUCGUUGACUUGCAUUUUUAAGAGCUCAAUCUGCUCUUUUUCGGCUUUCUGUGCGUGAUCGAAAAGGUUAGUUGUGUCUGCAUUGAGGGGACGGAACCUUCUUGUUGCUUAGUUUGCAUACGACACCUUUCCGCUCUCCAUUGGACGAACUCAAAAUGUAACCAGAGCAAAGAUGUACCCUCUCUUUUUGGGAGAAAUGUCUUUCUCGGCCUGCAUGGAACCCUGCCUGUGCCUGUUGCGAUGAUGGUGCAACUUCUUUUUCAGGCACAGCUAUUUUGCCUUCUUUAUCCUCCAUAAUCAAACCCCCUCACGUGGGUUCAAAAAUGUAAAGCAACGUCAUGUCGCAAAACCAGGCAAGCUGUCGUAAAACGAAUGCCAUUAAGAUGAUGGAUGUCGCAAAAUAAAACCAGAAGGAUGGAAAUGUUGCGGCAGCGUUACUUCUUUUGGAAAACAAAUUCAUGUUGUUUCUCAUUCUUUUCUGGCACUUAGUUAAGUGCAUCCAUGUUGGCAAAAAUCGUACUGUGGGUGGAAGGAGUGUGACGCUGGUAUUCCCAGCAUGCCUUGAGGUGUGCUUUUUUUUGUGUAAAUAGUCAUUAAUCAUCACGUUUAUUUUUGCUAGUCAAUUCUUUUUUCUCAGUGUAGUAGUACAGUAGUAUUUGUCGUUAUGUGCAUUCACCAACCUUAUUUAUUAUCUUUUUCAAUGAACUGUUAAUUUGCACCAUUGGUUUGUGUUUGGUGAUUUAUCACUUCCCUGGUUUGUUUUUCAGUAAGACAAAUGUCCCACUCUUUGCAAAGAGUCAUCUUCAUUGCUGCGAUUGCCACGAGCCUGUGGAGCCAUUUAAGUGCGACCAACAUUCGCAGAGGCUUCCUUGUAGAAUCUGCGGCCCUCUUCCUUGCUUACAAUUAACACUGAGAAUCCAUUUGAGGUGGUACUUGGUGUAAAAAGUCUCAGAAUCACUUCUAUAAAUUGUCGAUUGAUGUGACUGUUUGUUUGAUUAUCACCUUAUGUAUGGUAAUAUUGGACGAAAGCCGAAAAAACCUAUCCCUGUGUCAAUUUUUGCUGAUACAUCACUGCGGAAGAAAGCUUAGUUAAAUCCAGUUGAAAUGAUUCGUCUGUGAAUUCUUUGACUUAAGCAAACUCCUUUCGAAUACCCCCCGGGCCUCCUUCUCCCGAGACUAUAUUGACAUCAUACCUGCACCCCCACAUCUCUAUUCUGUCCCAACUUCAUCCUCGAGUCUCCGCAGAUGUGACAUUGCGCCGCCUCUUGUCAAAGUUGUGUGUGUCAGCUUCUUCGGGGAGACCUUUUCAUCAGUCUUUUACCUGCUUAUUUAUUUGUUUGCAUUUUUCCAUGUGGUGUGUGUCUGUCAGCUGAGAAAUAAAAAAGCUUUCUCAUCCUC
Molecule: long non-coding RNA, 3881 nt
Organism: Hippocampus zosterae (dwarf seahorse)
Lineage: Eukaryota; Metazoa; Chordata; Actinopteri; Syngnathiformes; Syngnathidae
Exons: 2
Source: RefSeq, a predicted model, not a curated record